Molecule: non-coding RNA, 239 nt
Filed under: Helcococcus kunzii
Lineage: Bacteria; Bacillati; Bacillota; Tissierellia; Tissierellales; Peptoniphilaceae
Description: T-box sequence
Rfam family: T-box leader
About the family: Uncharged tRNA acts as the effector for transcription antitermination of genes in the T-box leader family. T-boxes are found upstream of many aminoacyl-tRNA synthetase genes and some amino acid biosynthetic genes usually in Gram-positive bacteria.
Source: RNAcentral
AUAAAUGCGAUGAAAAGAUGAGUAUCUAAUCCGCUUCAUUUACAGCGAGUCUAAUAUGGUGAAAGUAGACAUUGAAUGAUUUAGAGAAUAAAGACUUGGAGCAGCGUUUUGGAUUUAUUGAUAAAACGACGUGGUUUGCACGUUACAGCAAAGGAGUAUGAUAGUACUUGCUAAGGUAUAUAUUGUGAAAUAUAUAUAAAAUUAGGUGGUAACACGAAGUUGAACUCUUCGUCCUAAGU